AAGAGUUUGAUCAUGGCUCAGAUUGAACGCUGGUGGCAGGCCUAACACAUGCAAGUCGAGCGGCAUCGAGUGAUCGCAGUUUACUGAGUUCAUGUCGGCGAGCGGCGGACGGGUGAGUAAAGUCUGGGAAUCUGGCCGAAGGAGGGGGAUAACUGCUGGAAACGGCAGCUAAUACCGCAUGAAGUCGCGAGACCAAAGUGGGGGACCUUCGGGCCUCACGCCUUCGGAUGAGCCCAGAUGAGAUUAGCUGGUAGGUAAGGUAAAGGCUUACCUAGGCGACGAUCUCUAGCGGGUCUGAGAGGAUAGCCCGCCACACUGGAACUGAGACACGGUCCAGACUCCUACGGGAGGCAGCAGUGGGGAAUAUUGCACAAUGGGCGAAAGCCUGAUGCAGCCAUGCCACGUGUGUGAAGAAGGCCUUCGGGUUGUAAAGCACUUUCAGCGAGGAGGAAGCGAUAAAUGCGAA
Molecule: ribosomal RNA, 466 nt
Filed under: Candidatus Williamhamiltonella defendens
Lineage: Bacteria; Pseudomonadati; Pseudomonadota; Gammaproteobacteria; Enterobacterales; Enterobacteriaceae
Description: bacterial SSU rRNA
Rfam family: Bacterial small subunit ribosomal RNA
Source: RNAcentral